RNAcentral lists this ribosomal RNA (239 nucleotides) under uncultured bacterium. Its description in RNAcentral is "partial 16S ribosomal RNA". It matches the Rfam family "Bacterial small subunit ribosomal RNA", at positions 102 to 334 of the family's 1533-position model. The record is from RNAcentral.
CCGACGGGUGAGUAACACGUAUGCAAUCCACCUCGUAACAGGGGAGUAACCGGAGAAAUACCGACUAAUACCCACUAAUAUGGGCGCUCCGCAUGGAGAGUCCAUUAAAGAGAGCAAUCUUGGUUACAGACGAGCAUGCGCUCCAUUAGCCAGUUGGCGGGGUAACGGCCCACCAAGGCGACGAUGGAUAGGGGUUCUGAGAGGAAGGUCCCCCACAUUGGAACUGAGACACGGUCCAA